This is an RNA transcript of Ziziphus jujuba (common jujube), 1298 nucleotides long. It is a transcript of the gene named protein EARLY FLOWERING 4, with no coding region annotated. The record is from RefSeq and is a predicted model, not a curated record. Lineage: Eukaryota; Viridiplantae; Streptophyta; Magnoliopsida; Rosales; Rhamnaceae. The transcript is spliced from 3 exons.
GGAGACGCUGAGGAAGAGCUUCCGGCAGGUGCAGUCCGUACUGGAUCAGAACCGUGCUCUGAUUCAGCAGGCGAAUGAUAACCACCAGUCUAGGGUCCAAGACAAUCUCGUCAAGAACGUUGACCUGAUCCGCCAGAUCAACGCGGCGAGCUAUUGUGCCGGGCAAGACCGAUGAUGAGAAGGUUGUGAAGAAGGCGACGACAGAGAAUUGAACUAAAUUGAAUUGAAUUGGGGGCGGUUUUAGCCUUGAAUCACCAGUAAUUUCGAUCACCUCUAGGUGAUAGAUUUUCCGGUUGGUUAAUUGAUUGAAGAACUGGGUCUAUCGACUUAAAAACGACAGAUUUACGGAUGGAGGAUUGCACCAGGGUAGGUCUUGAUUUUCUAUUGUGCCAGUCUUUAUUUAUUCAUAAUAUCGUGAUCCAGUAAAGUGGUGCUUUGAAGGUGAGUUAGACGAUCUCCAGGUAUUUAAAUAUUAGAAAAUUGAUCAAUUGCAAUAUUUGAGUUUAUUAUGUAUAGUUUGAUAUAUCUAUAUAUUUGGUUGAAGUAUAUUUGUAGAAAAUGCUAAGCAACGGUAUAGUGAGGAAAGCAAGAAUAAAAAAUUAAUGUGAGGAUAGAUUCAGAGGAUUAUUGUUUAUUUUCUUUCAUUAUAUCUCCUUUAAUGUGUGAACGUAAUGUGAGCAUUAGAAACACAUCUUCAAUUUUGAAUCUUCUUUUGAGAGGCACCAUCAUGCUGAGUAAAACGACUGGAAGUCCAGAAUAUAGGCUUAAGCUAAUAUUGGGGAAGUCGGUAGUUAUUGGAUUGUUACUGGAAUGGCUGGGUUCUGAGGCUCUGUUCUACAAUUAUGAUGAGCAUCUUGAUUUUAUACAGGAUUGAAAGAGUGCUGACGAAUUAUCAGCUCUGAGGGAAAGCAUUCUCUAGUUGUGAUUUUGGUGGACAGAACUAGACUUUAGGAGCCAUAGGCAUUUAGAACCUGUUUUUCCUUCUUUCAUGUCUCUUUGGUUUUAGUAUAAUUAUAUAGGUCAUUGAUUCUCAUAGUACUGGCAGCAAAAUGUUGGUGCUACAUUGUUCUGGUAAACUUUUAAUUUGAUAAGCUAUGGUCUAUGGGAUAUUGUUUCCUUGGUGAGGCUACCAUCCAUUAAGUGUUCUCAAAAUGUUCCUUAUAUUCUCCUUUUCCUUUAUUCACCAAUGGUGUUAAGGCUUGUCAUAGCUUAUUGAUUAUCAUGUAUGGUGGUUGUCACAUUUUAUCAGCAUGUUGUUUAUGGGAUUUUGCCAAGGUUUUUAUUUGUUCAGUAGUUAA